This 216-nucleotide ribosomal RNA is filed under the name uncultured archaeon. RNAcentral's name for it is "partial 16S ribosomal RNA". It matches the Rfam family "Archaeal small subunit ribosomal RNA", at positions 462 to 673 of the family's 1478-position model. The record is from RNAcentral.
UCGCCACGGUAAUACCCCGCUCCCCCGAGUGGUGGGGACGCUUAUUGGGCCUAAAAGCAUCCGUAGCCGGCCGGGCAAGUCCCCUGUUAAAAUCCCAGCGAUUCAAUCGCUGGACUGCGGGGGAUACUGCCCGGCUAGGGGGCGGGAGAGGCCGAGGGUACUCCCGGGGUAGGGGCGAAAUCCGUUAAUCCCGGGAGGACCACCCGUGGCGAAGGC